AUGAGUCGACCUGAUGGGAUCAACAUCCCCGACGGCAAGUUCUAUCUUGGAGAUGCUGGCUAUGCAUGUCGGCCGGGUAUUCUUCCACCCUUCAGGAAAACCAGGUACCAUCUCAACGAGUUCUCUGGUAGGAACUAUCCUAGGAUUGCACGGGAGCUGUUUAAUCUCAGAAACUCCAGCCUUAGAGUAACUGUUGAUAGGGAAUUUGGAUCUCUGAAGAAUAGGUUUAAGAUCCUGGAUCAUAAGCCAUUUCACCCGUACUCCACUCAGGUUAAGCUAGUUCUUGCUUGUUGCAUUAUGCAUAACUGGAUCCUCCAAUGGGGCUUUGAUGAACAUGUGCCUGAGGAGGAAGAGGUCGAGCCUGACGAUGUUUUUAGCUCCGGCCAUGGUGUGGAGGAAUUUGACAAUGACGCUUGGAAGAACAAAAGGUUGGAGUUGGAAGAGGCGAUGUGGCUUAACAGAGGUCAGUGCAGGAUUUGA
Molecule: ribosomal RNA, 480 nt
Filed under: Triticum aestivum (bread wheat)
Lineage: Eukaryota; Viridiplantae; Streptophyta; Magnoliopsida; Poales; Poaceae
Description: partial small subunit ribosomal RNA
Source: RNAcentral